GAAGUACUCCCUUCGUCUCAAAAUUCUUGUCUUAGAUUUGUUUAAAUACGUAUGUAUCAAGUCAUGUUUUAUUAUUAGAUACAUUUAUAUCUAGACGAAUCUAAGACAAGAAUUUUGAGACGGAGGGAGUACGUA
Non-coding RNA from Triticum aestivum (bread wheat), 135 nucleotides. The record is from Rfam. NCBI's taxonomy places the organism in Eukaryota, Viridiplantae, Streptophyta, Magnoliopsida, Poales, Poaceae.